GUGGGGAAUAUUGGACAAUGGGCGAAAGCCUGAUCCAGCAAUGCCGCGUGAGUGAUGAAGGCCUUAGGGUUGUAAAGCUCUUUUACCCGGGAUGAUAAUGACAGUACCGGGAGAAUAAGCUCCGGCUAACUCCGUGCCAGCAGCCGCGGUAAUACGGAGGGAGCUAGCGUUGUUCGGAAUUACUGGGCGUAAAGCGCACGUAGGCGGCUUUGUAAGUUAGAGGUGAAAGCCUGGAGCUUAACUCCAGAACUGCCUUUAAGACUGCAUCGCUUGAAUCCAGGAGAGGUGAGUGGAAUUCCGAGUGUAGAGGUGAAAUUCGUAGAUAUUCGGAAGAACACCAGUGGCGAAGGCGGCUCACUGGACUGGUAUUGACGCUGAGGUACGAAAGCGUGGGGAGCAAACAGGAUUAGAAACCCGGGUAGUCC
This 425-nucleotide ribosomal RNA is filed under the name uncultured bacterium. Its description in RNAcentral is "partial 16S ribosomal RNA". It matches the Rfam family "Bacterial small subunit ribosomal RNA", at positions 354 to 796 of the family's 1533-position model. The record is from RNAcentral.